This 282-nucleotide long non-coding RNA is filed under the name Elaeis guineensis (African oil palm). RNAcentral's name for it is "long non-coding RNA (EGUI_LNC059002)". Lineage: Eukaryota; Viridiplantae; Streptophyta; Magnoliopsida; Arecales; Arecaceae. The record is from RNAcentral.
AGGCUGUCUUGGUGACUUGUAAGCAACUUACUGUGAUUUGAUGUCGGACUAUCUGAAUUUCUAAUUCGAUAACGAAAGAUUUUUGGAUACAAUCAAGUACUUGUGAAGUCUGAGUGCGAGUCAAGAUGGAAUUGACCGCUCCAAGUAAAAUUGAAGAUGAUGCAUCACUAUAUUUAAAUUUAGCAAAACUUUGGCCAAAGUAGUCCUAGUGAGGAGUCACAGGAUUUUUAAGAUUGAGACACAAUGUGGACCACUCAUUCUGGGUUGACAGUUUAAUCCUUC